UGGCCCUUACCCAACAGCUUAAGCUUUUGGGAUCAAGUGGUUGUCUGACAGAUUACAAAAUUGGAGAGCUGGCUGGAAAAAGUGGUGAGCAUUCUCCCUCUUCCUGUUCAAAUUACCUCUUUGAUGCCUAAAUAGCUGUUAUUUCGUACUGCAUAAUUCAUGAAGGCUCAUCCGUGUUGAUUACUAAGGAUAGAUAGCUCGGGGUUGUCACUUGCAUCUCUUUGGCAGCAAAAGUUGAAGAAACUCAAGUGCCACUUCGCUUAGACCUUCAAGUAAGUUAAAGACAAAACAUUGUUCCCUUCUCUGAGACAUUCACAGUGCUUUUUCUCAUCUCAUGUAUCUAGUUAUGAUGAUGAGUUUUUCAUUAGUUGUGUGUUUAAUUUCCAUUUAUGAUUUUCAGGGUUGGUGAGAUACCUUGCCAAGUAUGUGGAUCCAGGGACAGAG
This 444-nucleotide long non-coding RNA is filed under the name Lotus japonicus. RNAcentral's name for it is "long non-coding RNA (LJAP_LNC000034)". Lineage: Eukaryota; Viridiplantae; Streptophyta; Magnoliopsida; Fabales; Fabaceae. The record is from RNAcentral.